RNAcentral lists this ribosomal RNA (429 nucleotides) under Gemmatimonadota bacterium. RNAcentral describes it as "Gemmatimonadetes bacterium partial 16S ribosomal RNA". It matches the Rfam family "Bacterial small subunit ribosomal RNA", at positions 355 to 776 of the family's 1533-position model. Lineage: Bacteria; Pseudomonadati; Gemmatimonadota. The record is from RNAcentral.
UAGGGAAUCUUCGGCAAUGGACGAAAGUCUGACCGAGCAACGCCGCGUGAGUGAAGAAGGUUUUCGGAUCGUAAAACUCUGUUGUUAGAGAAGAACAAGGACGUUAGUAACUGAACGUCCCCUGACGGUAUCUAACCAGAAAGCCACGGCUAACUACGUGCCAGCAGCCGCGGUAAUACGUAGGUGGCAAGCGUUGUCCGGAUUUAUUGGGCGUAAAGCGAGCGCAGGCGGUUUCUUAAGUCUGAUGUGAAAGCCCCCGGCUCAACCCGGGAGGGUCAUUGGAAACUGGGAGACUUGAGUGCAGAAGAGGAGAGUGGAAUUCCAUGUGUAGCGGUGAAAUGCGUAGAUAUAUGGAGGAACACCAGUGGCGAAGGCGGCUCUCUGGUCUGUAACUGACGCUGAGGCUCGAAAGCGUGGGGAGCAAACAGG